GACGAACGCUGGCGGCGUGCUUAACACAUGCAAGUCGAACGGAAAGGCCCUGCUUUUGUGGGGUGCUCGAGUUGCGAACGGGUGAGUAACACGUGAGUAACCUGCCCUUGACUUUGGGAUAACUUCAGGAAACUGGGGCUAAUACCGGAUAGGAGCUCCUGCUGCAUGGUGGGGGUGGGAAAGUUUCGGCGGUUGGGGAUGGACUCGCGGCUUAUCAGCUUGUUGGUGGGGUAGUGGCUUACCAAGGCUUUGACGGGUAGCCGGCCUGCGCGGGUGACCGGACACAUUGGGACUGAGCUACGGCCCAGACUCCUACGGGAGGCAGCGGUGGGGAAUAGUGCACAAGGGGCGGAAGCCUGAUGCAGCAAAGCAGCGUGCGGGAUGACGGCCUUCGGGUUGUAUACCGCUUUCGCCUGUGACGAAGCGUGAGUGACGGUAAUGGGUAAAGAAGCACCGGCUAACUCCGUG
RNAcentral lists this ribosomal RNA (468 nucleotides) under uncultured bacterium. Its description in RNAcentral is "partial 16S ribosomal RNA". It matches the Rfam family "Bacterial small subunit ribosomal RNA", at positions 28 to 507 of the family's 1533-position model. The record is from RNAcentral.